AUACGGAGGGGGCUAGCGUUGUUCGGAAUUACUGGGCGUAAAGCGCGCGUAGGCGGCUUAUCAAGUUAGGCGUGAAAGGCCUGGGCUCAACCCGGGAACUGCGCUUAAUACUGGUAGACUUGAGUCCGGGAGAGGGUGGCGGAAUUCCCAGUGUAGAGGUGAAAUUCGUAGAUAUUGGGAAGAACACCAGUGGCGAAGGCGGCCACCUGGCCCGGUACUGACGCUGAGGUGCGAAAGCGUGGGGAGCAAACAGGAUUAGAUACCCGAGUAGUCC
This 274-nucleotide ribosomal RNA is filed under the name uncultured bacterium. RNAcentral's name for it is "partial 16S ribosomal RNA". It matches the Rfam family "Bacterial small subunit ribosomal RNA", at positions 523 to 796 of the family's 1533-position model. The record is from RNAcentral.